GUUACGCCCCUGACUAGGCGUGGGUUUUCCGGUUCUGACUGAGAGUCACAGGCAACGUAAACAAGCGCUAUAUUUCUCUAUAAACGAUGGUGUCUGUACUGCCUUACCACUUCGAGCUCGAUCCAGAGAGUUCAGACGGCCGUUACGAUAUAAACGAUCUCCGUCAAUGAACGCGAAUGGAUUUAACUUUUUUAGGUGUCCUUAGUUCUGCCAGAAUGCUAAACGAAGACGAAAAUGUGUUGCAAAGACAUCCAAAAGGUUUUAAGGAGAAUGCAACAGGUUCCAGGGCCUCUUACCUGCGUGAUUCAUCAUCCAGGUUUUGCACAAAUUGUCUAAAUCCCUACACACAGAACAUUUAUUGUACCGACUAUAAGCCUUUGAGGUGCAGGACUAGACUAUCUAUUCAGAUAAAUGGCAUAUCAAAGCUUUGUCAGCUGGUGCUAUCUAAGACGACACUAUAAGGUUAUCAUCCUGUCGUGUGUUGUUCUCCAGAUAUGCUUGGAGCUUCCUGAUCAGAUCGGUCACAAUUUUGGCUUUCGACGACCCCUGCACUGAAGAUGGCAUGCAAUCACGUCCUCCUUUGAAGGUCUCUCAAACUGUGAUGCCAGGUCCAUUGGAAUCGGGGUUUCCUUCAGCUUAUCUUCAAAUACCUCAUCAAACACAAGCCUGAUCACAUCAUCCACAUAACUGUACAAAUAUUGCAGUCAAUAAAUCUUUUGUUUUGAUCAUUUAUUUC
This is a non-coding RNA of Paramisgurnus dabryanus, 736 nucleotides long. The record is from RefSeq and is a predicted model, not a curated record. NCBI's taxonomy places the organism in Eukaryota, Metazoa, Chordata, Actinopteri, Cypriniformes, Cobitidae.